RNAcentral lists this ribosomal RNA (253 nucleotides) under uncultured bacterium. Its description in RNAcentral is "partial 16S ribosomal RNA". It matches the Rfam family "Bacterial small subunit ribosomal RNA", at positions 524 to 776 of the family's 1533-position model. The record is from RNAcentral.
GACAGAGGGUGCAAACGUUGUUCGGAAUUACUGGGCGUAAAGCGCGUGUAGGCGGCCAUGCAAGUCGGAUGUGAAAGCCCUCGGCUCAACCGGGGAAGUGCACUCGAAACUGCAAGGCUAGAGUCUCGGAGAGGAUCGUGGAAUUCUCGGUGUAGAGGUGAAAUUCGUAGAUAUCAGGAGGAACACCGGUGGCGAAGGCGGGAUCCUGGGCCAGUACUGACGCUGAGGAGCGAAAGCGUGGGGAGCAAACAGG